GCACUGCUGAGGAGUCCUACAACAGGACGAAAUGGUCAUCCAGUGC
This 46-nucleotide non-coding RNA is filed under the name Schistosoma mansoni. The record is from RNAcentral. Lineage: Eukaryota; Metazoa; Platyhelminthes; Trematoda; Strigeidida; Schistosomatidae.